AGAACGUACAAUAAGGAAGUAUCAAUUGGUGACGGAAACACUAUAUACUAGGAAGUCAACGUUGGCAAAUACUCCGAUAAGUUUAUAGUAAAUUGUAAGUUAUUAUCUUCUUUUUAUUUAACUAUUCAUAUUUGUUUGAUAAGCUUUUGAUAUUAGAACUAUACACAUAAUAGUAGUAAUGCUUUUGUUUCAAUUCAUCGCAAACUUUGAUUCUAACUGGUAUUUAUGAUGAUGAUGAAAGAAGUGUUGAUGCAUUGCUUCUUUGUUUAAUACUGUUGUAAAGAAUUGGAUCACUUUCGACAGUAUCUUAUAUGAAUUUGACCUAAGUGCAACAUUCGUACAAUGGAGAUAGCGUCAUACCUAAUGUACAAUUCUCUUAAACUUCUUUCCUAUAUACUUGAAAAUAUUUUAAUCAGUUAUCUUUUUUAUUUAUUGUGUUACAUUACGAAAACAGUAGAAAUCUUCUGAUAUUUUUGUCAGCUUCAGAUACAGGUUAUUGAAUAGUUAAUUAUUGUUUCCGUGUAUAUCAAGUAGGUUGUUUUCAUCAUGUAUACGGAGUUGGAUGACCAUAUUAAAAAAUAUAUUAAUGUUCAAACUUUAUUUUCCGUUUCAACUGGAUCGAAUCAUGUGUCAACAUGAGAACCCCUAAAUAUGAAGAUCCAAUAAGACUCUCUUUUGGCCCCAAAAUAUAGCAGUUUUACAAAAUUGUUUAAAUGUACACUUUCAGUUUUUCAUUAGAAAGUAGAAUGGUUCUGCUAUAUAAAUGUGUUUUUUUUUUACCAUUCAAUGCACAAAUACAUCGGGAGAUAGCAUCAUUAAGGAUGUAUUAUUCUGACGUUUCAGUCUCAUUCAGUCUCAUUGAAAUCUCGUUCUGUUAUUAUUUCUAAAACAUUAGUCACAAAUGGAAAACAGCAAUUAAUUUGAUAAAAAGCAAAAUCAAACUUAACUCUGUGAAAAAUGGGUUUUUUAAAUGAUUAGUUUUUGAGUAUUCAAAUUUUUAGAUUUUAUUACCCAUCAAGUAAGUUUUUUUUUUAACCAAAAUCUUGAGAAAAUAGGUGAGAAAUACAAAAAGUGAUUGUACCAGAAACAUGUAAAUAACACUCACAUUCCUUAUUUCUUUUCAAUUUUUAUAGAUAUGUAUUUUUUCAAUCAUUUAUAACAAAGAAGUUGAAAAAUAUGCAAUUUUUAAUUAAAACUGAGAAAAAUCACAAAUUUACAAAAUUAAUAACAUUUAGAAAUAAAAUUUGACACAUUUAAAAAACAUCAAAAUAUGAUAAACUUUCUAAUAUAAACACUUACCUAUAGAUUUUUCGUCUUCAAUUUAUUAAAGAAAGUAUGACAAAAAGUUUAAUUGUAGAAUUGUGAUUUUUGUUCAUUAUUAAAGCCCCAAAAUAUGUCAAAAUUUAUGAAAAAUAGGAAAAUCAUCAAAAUUCAAUACUUUCAAAGGGCCGUAGCAAUCAAAACUGAAUCAAACCUGCUGACUGCCAUGGGCGAUUGCCAAAUAAAAUUGAUCACGAGAUGUAACAAAAUGGAUCUUAAUAUAAAUUUAAUACUAAACAGAAAAAGAUAAACUUGUGGCUAAGAUGUUAUGCCACAUACACAUGGUGUCAAUAUUGGUGAACACCAGAUCUAGAUUUCGGCAAUAUAUGUCUCAUCAGGGAUGUUAGGAAUCGAAACGGUAUUUGGAAUGCCAUAUAAUUUAUCCUCAAUUUAGGAUAGACUCUUGAAUUUUAAGAGUCAAUAUAGGAUGAACGGAUCAUUUAAACCGGAGGGAAAAUAUGAUACAAGCCUAAACGAAAAAAUAUAAACGAGUCUAAAUUGAAAACUAAGUUCAAACCCGCCUUACCUAUGAUUUGGUUGGAUAAAAAACCUAAUUUGUAUACGUGUGCAUGUAAAACAACUUUCGUUGUUGAAGGGUCUAAAUACAGUACAAACAUCAUUUUUCAAAAGACCAAAAAAGUGAGAAAAACGCAUUUGACUAUCAGGUCGAACACCUUGUGUUUAGUAUUAUCAUCAAUAUAAGACAACUAGCAGCCGGUUGGAUAUUGAAUAUCGAAUAACGAACCGGCUGCUAACUUCAAAUCCAUCCCACAAUUAUCUUUUCUUUUUUUAUCACAUUUGUCAAAUCUUUAAUUUGAAAACUGUUCAAAUGGAAAAAUGAAUAUAAAUACAGAUGAAAAUAGAAUGUACAAUAAUAUAAGGAAGUAUCAAUUGGUGACGGAAACACUCAAUCAUAGGAGGUCAAGAUUGGCAAAUACUCCGAUAAGUUAACUAAAAGUGUCAGUUUAUAUCAAAUUGUAAGUUAUUAUUUUCUUUUAUUUUAUUAUUCAUAUUUAUUUGAUAAGCUUUUGAUAUUAGAAAUAUACAAACCAAUGUAUAAAUGCUUUUGUUUCAAUUUAUCGCAAACUUUGAUUCUUACUGGAAUUUUGUUGCUGAUAAAAGGAGUGUUUCUUCGUUUCAUACUGUUGUAAACAGCUUGAUAACAUCCGAGAGUAUCUUAUAUGAAUUGGCUAAGUGCAACAUUCGAAUCACCGGUAAUCAAGUCGAGCAUACAUUUACUGAAGUGAAUAAAUAUUAUUACAAGUAUUAGUAUUUUACAUGAAUUGACUGAAGUUAAACAUUCGAAUCACUGGCCUAUAUAUAUGACUAUUAUAGAGAAAAGUUCUUAUCCUUUGUAUAAAAUCGGACAUACAUUGAAAGAAGUGAAAAAAACAGUAAUGGGUUAUUUUGCUUAACUUAACGGAUGGUUAUGCAUUUGUUUUUUGAAGGUAGAUUACAAAAUGAGAUUUAUUUUUAUAGUUUCUACUUAAUUUGUUCACACAGUUAAUAUAACAUGUAUAAAGACGUAAGCUUAAUUAGAUUUAGAAUACACACUUUAUAACAUAAAAAAACCUCGUGAAUAAGAAUAUACCUUUCCUUUUACAUUCUACAUAAUCCAUAGAACAUGACGAAGGAACCACAGAUGUCUUUAAAUAAAUGUUGUCAUUGAAUCGAUGAUUCAAAUUGUAGUUGUUCUAUGUAUGUUUAUUUUUGUUGCACUUCAGUGUUUCUGUUUUUCCUUUGUUUCACUCUCAUUGUUAAUGUGUUUCCCUCUGGUUUAGUAACCGGAAUUUGUUUUCCCUCAAUCGUUUUAUGAUUUCGAAACUGCAGUAAACUCUACUGUUGCCUUUAUUUCAUGGACGUGUACCAACAUAUUCCUUUUGAUUCCUCGUUCCGACUUGGCUACACUUGAAAAUAGGACCUUGUAAGUUUGAUACGCUUUUUAAUAUUUGUAUUAUAUUAUGGACAUUAAAUUAUUGUGACCUCGAGCAUUCCUGAUUACUGUUGCCAAUUGUUGUAGUUUAGUCUCAAUUAGUGUCGGUGUAGAAUCUUACUUGCAAUUAAUUUGAGAGAAGUUUAUGUUAUAAUAUUUUUUAAUAAGAAGCACAAAUACAGUGUUGUAAUUUGAAGGGGAAAACUACGGUCCAUAUAGUAUCUGAGCUGAACUAAAGUAUUUGUAUUCAGGCUUGCAGUGACAACAAUAUGAUUGUCUCAGAUUUUGAUGAAAACUUGAAGAAAUCACCUCAAUAACAGGUUAUAAAGAAAUAAAAAUAAGAAAACAAAUUCCCACCAAUUUUAUAUAGUUGCUAUGGAAACAGAGGCAUUUGAAUUUUCCAAAACCACCAGUUUUUCACUAAUUCAGUGUCAUGGAAUUUGAUGUUUAUAUGAAAACCAGUAUGUCUCCAUUCCAAUGCAACUUUUUCAACUAUCAAAUAUUCUUUUUUAACAGCUGGUUUGGUGAUAUUCUAUUUCUUUCUAGACAUUUUUGGGGUACUGAAGGUCCUUUGGAACCAUUUUUUCUCAAAAAAGCCAAAAAUGACUUAAAAUCAGGUUAAAAUAUUAUCUAUUACCAGAACAGCAAAGACAUGUGGUGUUUCUUUAUAUGGGAGAAGUAGAACUUUUUUGAUUUCAUACAAAAUCAGUUUUUGUCAGUUUUCAUGGACCCGAUAAUAAUAAAAUGAAUAUAUGGAGAAUGUGAUUAAAUUUUUUUUCUAGAUGACUGUAUUAUAUAAUAUACCAAACUAGUUAUCAAACUAGUUCACCGUUCAUAAAAGAGGGACGAAAGAUACCAGAAGGUCAGUCAUACUCAUACAUUGAAAAUAAACUGACAACGCCAUGGCUAAAAAAAUUAAAGACAAACAGACAAAUAAUAGUACACAAGACACAACACAGAAAAUUAAUUCAAGACUAAGCAACACGAACUCCACCAAAAACUUGAGGUGAUCUAAGUGCUCCGGAAGGGUACACAGAUCCUGCUCCAUAUGACUUAUAAUUUCUGUUGAUUUACAAUUUCUUGAAUGCAAAUAUCAUGUUGUAUAAUUUAAUACAAUAUUCAAAAUUAUAAUUUCAUGCAACAGAUGUUCUUUUACAGUGUUUCUGAUAUUUUUCAGGCGUAGUAUGGAGAAAAUAUACAAUACAAUUUUCAUAAUAGCAUGCACUGUCUAUGGAUGUACCGUCAAUGGAUGCCCUUCCUUAUGUAGAUGCACGAGCACGAAUGUGGUGUAUUGCAGCGGAAAAUCUCUAACGACAGUCCCGCCUAAUAUACCGAAUUCAACCACUAUAUUGUGAGUAUUGUUUGCAAAUUUCUUUUUAACUAAAACGAAUCUAAUAAUAAUAUUUUAGUGCACACAAAGUCCUUCGUUUGAUGUCGAGAUUAAACGUAAUGAAAUUGUUGACCUAUUGUUGUGUGAGUAAUACAUUGUUACUAAUUACCGCCGCAGUACACAGUGAUUAACAACAAUGCCGAGAUAAGUUCACGGAAUACAGCUUUUUCAUAAAACAAAUAUUUACUCUUAAUAAAAAUAUAAAUAAUUAAAUUAAACUAAUUGUUCACAGAACAAUUGAAGUUCCCUCCACUAAAAUUUUGAAAAUGAAAAUGAAAAUUUCCGCCGGUUUUCUCAAGUUACUUUGUUGUACUAUCAUAGGUCUUGUCCUACUGAUUAUACCAAGUAUAUAAUUACUACAUUCUUUUGUCUGAUUUAAGGGAGAAAAUUGCAAAUUUCCGGUUAUGAAAUCAUCAUUUCCGAUCUCAUAUGAUUGAUGUACCAAUACUGAUUUUAUAUCCUUUAAACUGUAAAAAGGGAGAAAAUGGGCUACGUCCGGUUGAGAAAACGGCAUUUCUGGUAUCAUAAGAUAGCUGUAUUCACACCGUUUCCCAAAAUAUACCUUUUGUUUUACUUGUGUCUGUAAUAAGACAGAUAAUAUGUUUCUUCUGUUUAUAGAAUAUAACUAUUGGUCUCAAAUGAUAGGUUUAUGUAUGCCCAUUGAAAAAUAUGUAUUGACUCUAAGUACUUUUUAAUGACAUCAGUUUAAAAAAUAUUACUUCCAGUUACUCAAGAUCACUUCCGGCAAUCAUUUGUCAAUGUCACCCAACAUUUUACUAAGACUAAUUUUGCUUUAUCUGGUACCAAUCUGAUGUAAUUGAACCUAAACACACAAUACCAUCUACAAGAUUACAUUGGGUUGUUUCAGAUAAAAGAGGGACGAAAGACACCAAAGGGACAGUCAAAAUCACAAAUCCAAAACAAACCGGCAACGCCAUGGCUGAAAUGAAAAAGACAAACAGACAAACAAUAAUACACAUGACACAACACAGAACACCAACGAACAAACAACAUAAACCCGACCAAAAACCUGGGGCGACCUCGGGUGCUCCGGAAGGGUAAGCAGAUCCUACUCCACAGUAAAAAAAAAGUGAAAUUGAAAUUAUCCCUUCAUAAAUUUUACGGAAGCCAUCACGCGUUGGUUGACAUUUAUGGAAUAACCGUUUCAAAGGUAAUAACGGAUAUGUUUCUUAUAACUACAACUUCCCUUUUCACGAAUGUGACCUAUCGAUUUCGACUGUUUACCGGGUUUGUAAUAAUUUGAUCAACACGAAGGGUGUCACAUUGGGAGCAGUGUCUACCAACCUUUUACGGAGCACCUGAGAUCACCCUUCGGAUUUUGGUAGAGUUCGUGUUGCUAAGUCUUUAGUUUUCUUAUGUGCUGUUAUUUGUCUGUUUGUCUUUAUUUCUUUUUUUAUCCAUGGUGUUGUCAGUUUAUUUUAGAUCUAUGAGUUUGACCGUCCCUUUGGUAUCUUUCGUCCCUUUUUUAAAAAACAAAAUAAUAAAUGAAGAGGGUAUGUUUGUUUUCUAAUUAAGGUUGAACUUGAGGAAAAAUGUUCUCUUAAGUGAAUGUUUAUUCACAAAAUAAACAAAUAAACUCAUCAUAGAUACCAGGACAAAAUUUUAAAUAUACGCCAGACGCGCGUUUCGUCUACAAAUGCCUCAUCAGUGACGCUCGAAUCCAAAAAAGUAAAAAAGGCCAUAUAAAGUAAGAAGUUGAAGAGCGUUGAGGACCAAAACUCCUAAAAUAUUUGCCAAAUACAGGUUAGGUAAUUUAUGCCUGAGGUAGAAAAGCCUUAUUAUUGAAACAAAUUCAAAAUUUUGUAAACAGUUAAUUUAUAAAUAUAACAAUAUCAAUGAUAAACAAAGAAAUAGAAAUGUUUUCUUUUUAAAAACAAAAUAAAAGGUAUUGUGAUACUCGGAGGGAAUAUAAAUGAAAGUAUGACAGAAAAAGAAAGCACACAAACGUGUAGUUAAUCUGUAAAUAGUUCAAAACAAUCAAAAGGAAAUAUUAGUUAAUCGAUAUAUGGAGAUGUAUUAACCCCCAAAAAGGACAGGUUAUUAUGAAAAGGGGAAUACUAAUUCAAUAUACUAAGAAGUAUGAUAUAUUUGUUAUACAAAGUCUAAUCGAUGAAUGUAAUGUUUUCCAGCAAAUUAAUUCUGUAUUUAGUAAUCUUAGAUGACAAAGAAUGUAAAACUAACAAUUGAUUGCCAUUAACUGAGCAAUCUUCCUGGGUUUUUUUCAGUAAAACUUACAUUACAACUGCUGUAUUGGAUUGUUUUAAAUAGAAUAUAGUGCAAUAGACUUGAUUUUCAUCUUUGCCUCAUUUCAAAUAGCCUCUUUUCAUGCCGUUUGUAUUGCUUUUUGCGAAUACAGUAAAAGGUUUGACCCCUCUUAGGUCAUGUUAUAAAGUUUGAUUUUGGCUAAUUUUAAUUUUUUAAGAAACCGUACAGAAUAUCUACAAAAUAAUUGAACUGAAUUGUUAGAUGCGUAUGUUGAACUCAUAACUUUCGGUUAAAAGGGCAUGUAGACUAAUAGAUUGCAGUUUAAGCCCCUCUUAUUCAUAUAGUAAUAUAAUUCAAUAGCCAUGUAUAAUAAAGAUCUAGGGUCCUUUGGAUUGAUGUCCUUGGUUGAUGAUCUUAAAAGUAAGGUCAGAAUCAUAGGUGAUUUGAUGGUCUAGAUUUUGACCUUUUCUUUUUAUCAUUAUAUAUGCAUGAUCAACUAUGGGACUUUGUGCAUUAAGUUGCAAGCCAUAUGAUCUUGAAAAAGGAACCGAGAGGGUCCCUUUGUAAACCGGAAGUAGCUAUUUUUUGUACUUUUUGAAUAGAAAAGUAUAUACAUGAUAUAAAACCAUUUAUUUUUGGAAUCAGUGUCUAAACUAUCACAUGAAAAUGAAAGUGACAUUUUUCAAGUAACAAAUUAUCUCCCUUAUUUACAAAAGAAAUUGUAUAGGAACCAUACAUUUGUUUCAAUCAGUUCACAGGUAGAUGUCUGUUUAAACUCUAUUACAAUAUUUUCAAAUCAAAAUGCAUGUUUUUUUUAGGUGAACAAUUGGUUUUCAAUUCAGUUUAGCCUGAUGAAAUUUCCAGGCUUUAUAAUUUUGUUGAGGUAAAUCUGUUACUAUUUAUUUUAUCAUUUUGAACCAGUUAACAAUAUUGCUACUAAUGGUUUUUCUAAUAAAGUUGAAUGCGUACAGAAUACAGUGUUUUGGUUGCUGUUUGAAGAAAUUAUAAAUACAAGGAUGUUAAUGUUAAAGCCUUUGAAGUCAUAAGAUAUUUAAAUUAAAUAAGUGAUUUGAAUAUUGUCCAUCGACAGGUUACACUGCACUUGGUUAUUGCAAAUUAUAUUACUGCAGCAUUUAUAAUUAUAUUAUAAUUGGAAUAACGAUCAAUACCUAAAGAUAGGAAAGAUAACUUAAACAGUCUAGGGGGAUAAUUCUCGGUUGGCAAUUAACAUUUUAAGAACAGCAAGCCAUAAUUUAACAUGUAGAUGCACGAGCACGAAUGUGUAUUGCAGCAGAUUAUCUCUAUCGGCAGUCCCAUCUAAUAUACCGAAAUAAACAUUUAUAUCUACGUAAGUAAAAAAAACACCAUAAUUUUAUUUAUCAAAAUUAAAUCGCGAUCGAAACAUUGUAGUACAGUGUCCACACUCAUAAAUCGUCUUCAUCUCGGUGUUAUCAGGUUCGUUGGUUAAGGGGUUCGCAAAAUUGAACCUAGGGUUUCAAAAACACAAUGUAAAUUUCUUAUACUGCGAUUUGAAAAAAAAAUAUCAAACUUACAAGGAAAGUUCUAUAAGAGAUAUAACCGGUUUAUCUUAUAGUUCAGUUGAAACUAUUAUAGUGUUCAAUAAUACAGCUUGUUAAUUGAUUAUCAUUAAAAGCCAUUCUGUAUAAACAAUAAAAAUGUCUAUGUUCUUCUAUGUACCCCUGUAUUUACAACAGUUUAUCAGACUAACGUAUAUAUAUAUAGUUUAUCAGACUAACGUAUAUAUAUAUAGUUUAUCAGACUAACGUAUAUAUAUAUAGUUUAUCAGACUAACGUAUAUAUAUAUAGUUUAUCAGACUAACGUAUAUAUAUAUAGUUUAUCAGACUAACGUAUAUAUUGUUACGAUUUAGUGAUCGUAUUAUUAAAUUAAUGGAUCUCGUGUUAUCCAUAGUUUACAGUAGUAAUUUUAUGAGUCAGCUGUUUUUGUUUACGUUUUCGCAACGCUAUUUUUUACGAUGGAAUGUCACCUCGUACAGAAUAUUCCCGGUUGGUUGGCAUGUAUUUCAAUGAUACAUGAUGCGCUUAUGUGUUUACCUUAUUUGAUUAUUUAUUUUCUUAAUAUAAUAACUUGUGUUUUAGCCGUAAUCGUCUAAAUACCAGCAGUGCCAUAGUUUAUUUACAAGAGAAGCCAUAUUUAUUUGUGUAUUGGCGGUCUGCAACACGAGAUUGCCUGUGAACAUAACAAACGUUUUGAUUGGUCGAUCCAUUGACCGGAAAAUUAUAAAUAGAAGGUUGACGAAACGAACUUUAGAUUUAAUCUCAUCGCCUGCAAGAGCAGUCGGAAUUUAUGCUGUCUUGAUGUCCUUAUAAUUUAGUGUGAAGGUUUUGAAUGUUUUAAGAAAACUAAACCUUCUUACACAUGGCAAUUGUUUGUUUUGAAGAAGAAGAAGACGACCUUCGACCUACGGGAAAGUCCCGUCAGCUGUCGUUCCACUUAGUCAACUUUCUAUAAAUACGACGAGAGAGGUUUUCUGGAAAUCUACUUUCACUUUAGCAGAGAGAAACCUUUAUGAGAUGAUUACGGCAAAUUGGUUAUAAAUAUGAAUGUAUGUUUUUAUGAUCAAUUGUAAAUAUUUGAUUAUAUAUAGAUAUUAUAUAAAAUACCUAUGAAAUGUUACCUGACUUAGUUAUUAUUUCAACCAUAUACCAACUCAAAGGAUCCAUGCAAUUUAUGUUCGAUCGAGCCUCCUUAUUCAAUUUAACUUACCACUCGGUUUAAGGGGCGAAAUCGUUACAAUAUAUAUAACAAUACCAUCUUCAUGCGUUAUAUAUCAUGUACUGUAGUACGCCGCUAGAUUUAAACUGACGAGGAAAGGUAACACACGGCCACUGAAAGCUUUAUUAUUAUUAUUUUAUUAUUUUAGUAGAGCCCAGGUGGUCGUGUGGUCUAGCGGGACGGAUGCAGUGCAGGCGAUUUGGUGUCACGAUACCACAGUAGCAUGGGUUCGAAUCCCGGCGAGGGAAAAACCAAUAAUUUGCGAAAGCAAAUUUACAGAUCUAACAUUGUUGGGUUGAUGUUUAGACGAGUUGUAUAUACAUUAUGUACACAGCUAUGUAUCACCAUCAUUGAUGGCGAUCCGAUGGAUACAUCUGUUGUAGAGUUGUCACUGACUCAGACGUACUUAUAAAUAUAAUUAUUUUCUGUGACUGUAUCUUACAUUAAUUUGUAGGGAUAAUUUAGCUGAUCUGUAACAGUACCAUCUUCAUGCCUUAUAUAUCAUGUACUGCAGUAUGCCACGAGAUUAAAACCGACGAGGAAAGGUAACAAACGACCACUGAAAGCUUUAGUUUAGUAGAGCCAAGGUGGUCGUGUGGUCUCGCGGGACGGCUGCAGAGCAGGCGCUUUGGUGUCACGAUAUCACAAUAGCAUGGGUUCAAAUCCCGGUGAGGGAAGAACCAAAAAAUUUGCGAAAGCAAAUUUACAGAUCUAUCAGUGUUAGGUUGAUGUUUAGACGAGUUGUAUAUACAUUAUGUACACAGUCAUGUUUCACCAUCAUUUAUGGCGAUCCGAUGGAUACAUCUGUUGUAGAGUUGUCACUGACUCAGACGUACUUAUAAAUAUAAUUAUUUUCUGUGACUGUAUCUUACAUUAAUUUGUAGGAUCCUUUACUGUAGAUAAUUUGGCUGAUCUGUAACAAUACCAUCUUCAUGCCUUAUAUAUCAUGUACUGUAGUACGCCGCUAGAUUAAAACUGACGAGGAAAGGUAACACACGGCCACUGAAAGCUUUAUUUUAGUAGAGCCGAUGUGGUCGUGUGGUCUAGCGGGACGGCUGCAGUGCAGACGAGUUGGUGUCUCGAUAUCACAGUAGCAUGGGUUCGAAUCCCGGCGAGGGAAGAACCAAAAACUUGCGAAAGCAAAUUUACAGAUCUAACAUUGUUGGGUUGAUGUUUAGACGAGUUAUAUAUAUAUAUAUAUAUAUAUAUAUAUAUAUAUAUAUAUAUAUAUAUAUACCAGAAAGACUUUUGCUCAUUGUUGAAGCCCGUGAGGUGACCUAAACUUGUUAAUGUCUGUGUCAUUUUGGUCUCUUGUGGACAGUUGUCUCUUGACAAUCACACCACAUCUUCUUUUUUAUAUUUGAAGGAAAAAACGGGACUUCAAAUGUUUGCCGGAAUGGAAAUCGGUUAAUUCAGGGUUCAGUUUAUUCAGGUUUGAGUGCAUAUCUUUUUUUUUGUAUUACAACUAUAUGCUCGUAUAACUUUAACAUGUUUUCAAACAUCUAUACGUUCACCAUUGCUAGUGGCAUAUGAUUUCUUCACAUUAAAUUAAUGUAAAAAUGCUUUUUUUAAUGUCCUUUGUAGGUAUAUUAGCCAAAAUAAGAUUACCCUGAAAGAUGAUUACGCAUUUGCUGGAUUGUCGGCUCUUAAAAUUAUGUGAGUAUAUUAAUACAUAUAUUCAAAAGUGAAUAAUUAUGACGAAAUUUACUAGAUUCCUCUGUCCCAUUGGUAUCGGCAUCAAUAUAUGCCAUCAAGACCUAUUUUUUUUGGUUUGAUUUCAAAUGUUAUUUAUAAGCAGCG
This 11425-nucleotide long non-coding RNA is filed under the name Mytilus galloprovincialis (Mediterranean mussel). Lineage: Eukaryota; Metazoa; Mollusca; Bivalvia; Mytilida; Mytilidae. The record is from RNAcentral.